Molecule: ribosomal RNA, 253 nt
Filed under: uncultured bacterium
Lineage: Bacteria
Description: partial 16S ribosomal RNA
Rfam family: Bacterial small subunit ribosomal RNA
Source: RNAcentral
UACGUAGGGUGCAAGCGUUGCCCGGAUUUAUUGGGCGUAAAGGGCGCGUAGGCGGCUCUGCACGUUCGUUGUGAAAUCGCCCGGCUCAACUGGGCGGGGUCAGCGGAUACGGCAGAGCUUGAGCAAGCUAGGGGGCAAUGGAAUUCCCGGUGUAGUGGUGGAAUGCGUAGAGAUCCGGAAGAACACCGGUGGCGAAGGCGGCCUGCUGGGCAGUUGCUGACACUGAGGCGCGACAGCGUGGGGAGCAAACAGG